This 460-nucleotide ribosomal RNA is filed under the name uncultured bacterium. RNAcentral describes it as "partial 16S ribosomal RNA". It matches the Rfam family "Bacterial small subunit ribosomal RNA", at positions 338 to 795 of the family's 1533-position model. The record is from RNAcentral.
CCUACGGGUGGCAGCAGUGAGGAAUAUUGGUCAAUGGACGAGAGUCUGAACCAGCCAAGUAGCGUGAAGGAUGACUGCCCUAUGGGUUGUAAACUUCUUUUAUAUGGGAAUAAAAUGUUCCACGUGUGGGAGUUUGUAUGUACCAUAUGAAUAAGGAUCGGCUAACUCCGUGCCAGCAGCCGCGGUAAUACGGAGGAUCCGAGCGUUAUCCGGAUUUAUUGGGUUUAAAGGGAGCGUAGGUGGAUUGUUAAGUCAGGUGUGAAAGUUUGCGGCUCAACCGUAAAAUUGCAGUUGAAACUGGCAGUCUUGAGUACAGAAGAGGUGGGCGGAAUGCGUGGUGUAGCGGUGAAAUGCUUAGAUAUCACGAAGAACUCCGAUUGCGAAGGCAGCUCACUGGACUGCAACUGACGCUGAGGCUCGAAAGUGUGGGUAUCAAACAGGAUUAGAUACCCUAGUAGUC